GACGAACCGUGCGAAUGUUGUUCGGAAUCACUGGGCUUAAAGGGCGCGUAGGCGGGCUGUAAAGUCAGUGGUGAAAUCCUUCAGCUCAACUGGAGAAGUGCCGCUGAUACUGACAGUCUCGAGGGAGGUAGGGGUCGAUGGAACUAAUGGUGGAGCGGUGAAAUGCAUAGAUAUCAUUAGGAACGCCGGUGGCGAAAGCGGCAUCCUGGACCAAUUCUGACACUGAGGAGCGAAAGCCAGGGGAGCAAACGGG
This 253-nucleotide ribosomal RNA is filed under the name uncultured bacterium. RNAcentral describes it as "partial 16S ribosomal RNA". It matches the Rfam family "Bacterial small subunit ribosomal RNA", at positions 524 to 776 of the family's 1533-position model. The record is from RNAcentral.